GGACUACCCGGGUUUCUAAUCCCGUUCGCUACCCUGGCUUUCGCGCCUCAGCGUCAGAAGAGGUCCAGCACGUCGCUUUCGCCACCGGCGUUCCUUCCGAUAUCAACGCAUUUCACCGCUCCACCGGAAGUUCCACAUGCCCCUAUCUCCCUCUAGCCCGCCAGUAUCAAGAGCACUUUUCCGGUUAAGCCGAAAGAUUUCACUCCUGACUUGGCAGGCCGCCUACGCGCCCUUUAAGCCCAGUGAUUCCGAACAACGUUCGCACGGUUCGUCUUACCGCGGCUGCUGGCAC
Molecule: ribosomal RNA, 292 nt
Filed under: uncultured Planctomycetota bacterium
Lineage: Bacteria; Pseudomonadati; Planctomycetota
Description: uncultured planctomycete partial 16S ribosomal RNA
Source: RNAcentral